This 305-nucleotide ribosomal RNA is filed under the name uncultured bacterium. RNAcentral describes it as "bacterial SSU rRNA". It matches the Rfam family "Bacterial small subunit ribosomal RNA", at positions 338 to 657 of the family's 1533-position model. The record is from RNAcentral.
CCUACGGGACGCAGCAGUGGGGAAUAUUGGGCAAUGGGCGCAAGCCUGACCCAGCAACGCCGCGUGAAGGAAGAAGGCUUUCGGGUUGUAAACUUCUUUUGUCAGGGACGAAGCAAGUGACGGUACCUGACGAAUAAGCCACGGCUAACUACGUGCCAGCAGCCGCGGUAAUACGUAGGUGGCAAGCGUUAUCCGGAUUUAUUGGGUGUAAAGGGCGUGUAGGCGGGAAUGGAAGGUAGAUGUGAAAAAUAUGGGCACAACCCAUAGCCGGCAUUUGUAACUGUAUUUCUUGAGGGCUGGGGAGG